This 406-nucleotide ribosomal RNA is filed under the name uncultured bacterium. RNAcentral describes it as "partial 16S ribosomal RNA". It matches the Rfam family "Bacterial small subunit ribosomal RNA", at positions 30 to 526 of the family's 1533-position model. The record is from RNAcentral.
AUUGAACGCUGGCGGCAGGCCUAACACAUGCAAGUCGAGCGAGCGGCGGACGGGUGAGUAAUGUCUGGGAAACUGCCUGAUGGAGGGGGAUAACUACUGGAAACGGUAGCUAAUACCGCAUACCAUCAGAUGUGCCCAGAUGGGAUUAGCUAGUAGGUGGGGUAACGGUUCACCUAGGCGACGAUCCCUAGCUGGUCUGAGAGGAUGACCAGGCAGACUGGAACUGAGACACGGUCCAGACUCCUACGGGAGGCAGCGGUGGGGAAUAUUGCACAAUGGGCGCAAGCCUGAUGCGGCCAUGCCGCGGGUGUGAAGAAGGCCUUCGGGUUGUAAAGCACUUUCAGCGGGGAGGCGUUACCCUCAGAAGAAGCACCGGCUAACUCCGUGCCAGCAGCCGCGGUAAUAC